This is a long non-coding RNA of Ailuropoda melanoleuca (giant panda), 219 nucleotides long. RefSeq lists it as uncharacterized. The transcript is spliced from 3 exons. The record is from RefSeq and is a predicted model, not a curated record. Lineage: Eukaryota; Metazoa; Chordata; Mammalia; Carnivora; Ursidae.
CCUGACUGGACUCACGGGAUUGGUACCCAGAGAGCGUCUGUCUGUCCUAGCGGUCAAGGCUUUUCUGCGACAAAUUCUAAAUACGCAUCGCGGCCAAAUCUGUCCAAGGCUCAGGAGCCACGCUGGAGUUAGUUUGAGUCUUGGCAAUGGUUUAUAUUGUAGCCAAAUCAUGGAAGGAGCCGAGAUGCCCUUCAACAGAUGACUGGAUUAAGAAGCUGU